AUCAUGCAUUCAUAAUGGUAUCAUCAACCACUAUAUUCAUAUAUAGAUUAACAAAUGAUUCUCAGUAUUUCACACCAAGUAUUCAUAUACACAUGAUUAAACCUUGACCGUCAACGGAAUGACUUUGGGAACGAUUGAUAACACUUAGUGUCACGUUAAACCUACCGAGCAAUGUAUAGGGAGGAGCACCUCAUCCUAAGAUCCAAUCAUCUUUAACUCAGAAAACCUAAAACAUGAAUUUAAAAAAAAAAACGUGCAUACAAACUUAGUGAGUGAACAUAGGAGGGAACAAGUAAACAAUAAGGAAGGUUUAAAGAAAAUCAUGAUGCAUUUAUCUUUAUAACAAUGUAAUUUAAUUAGCUAUUAUCAAAGCCCCUCAUGUAAACCCCAAAUGAGUAAAUCACUUGAUAAAAAGGAUCCAUGCUCAACAAAGGAUUUGAAUGGUGAAAACUUUAAUAGCAUUCGUGCAACUCACGUCAAGUAAACGAUGGGUCUUCGCUGCAGUGAGAUUCUGACUAGCAUUACCCCUCCAAAUCCGAGAGUUUCUCGCUGUAGCGAGAAUGAAUCUUGCUACAGCGAGAAACAGAGCACCAUGAAAAAGUUUCCUUUCGUUCAAGAAAAAGCCAUCCUGCUAAAAUGACAAAAAAAUCAACAUGAAACGCAUAAUAAUUUUCAAAGUUCAACAUGCAAGAUUCACAUGUGCAACACCAUAUACCAUACUCAUGAACUUUCUAUAACACACAUAUCUAUAUAUGUAUAUAUAUAUAUAUCCAUCACCAUACACACCCUUCCAUCAUCAUCAGCUCAUAUGCACUCCCACUAGCACAUGGCUGGGUUAGCAUCGGCUUAUGCACACUCCUACUCGCACAUAGCCGGGUCAGCAUCGGCUUAUGCGCACUCCCCCUCGCACAUAGCCAGGUCAGCAUCGGCUUAUGCGCACUCCCCCUCGCAUAUAGCCGAGUCAGCAUUGACUUAUGCACACUCCUACUCGCACAUAGUCGGGUCAAUAUCAUUACACAACAUUAUUCGUAUACUCAUAUACAUAUAUAUAUAUAUCAACACAGUAUACAAGCACAAAAGUUCGUCCUAUUACAAAUUUCACAUUUUCACAACAUCAAAAUAUUUUAUCAAAGGCUUGUUCCCAAGGCACAUGUUUUUAAAGACAAGUUGGAAUAAAUCAUUCAAUGCUUCAUACCAAUACAAUUAUGUCUACCAAAACGAUUUUGAAAUACAAGUUCACUCAUCUGGCAACAACGAGAUAUUAAGUCAUUAUUUGAUCGGAGGUGUCUCUAACUAUUUUCACCAGCCGAUCGUUCGUUAUUUACUCUUGCAUGCCACCACAGUUCUCUAACCUUAUCUUUGCACUUCCUAGCAAUAAUACGAACUCAAUAUAUUUAAUUACAUACGUAUACGGGCAGCACUUCAAUCAAUUAAUCCUUACUCAAAUUUAUAUUUUUCAUCCUAUCAUGAAACCAUCUUCAAUUAACUCACAUCUUAAUAGACUUUUACCAAAAUUACUUAUAUCCAUUGCUUAUGAAAUUCCUUAGAUUAUAUCACCGGUAACUUAUUUAUGAUGUCACUUCCCUACUUCAACCUUUCUAAAUAAUUUUUGCCCAAAUCCAUCUUAUAUUUCCACACAUAAUCCACAUAUAUGGCAGCAACAAUUAUUCUCACUUUCACUCAAUUAUUUCCUAGUUUACACGUAUCGUUAUCUAUCUAACUUUCAAUACUUUGUUUCUCAAUCCUCUAUCCACAAUAUUCCUUUUUUAUUUCUUUCAAACAACAUGCCAUACAAUCUUAACAAUUUUCAACUAGCUUAGGCAAAUAAAUCCUUUCAACAACCAUAAUUCCUCACUAUAUUCAACUAACCGUAGGCUUUAAAACAUAGUGUUAAGCUUACCGUUUUCCUUUUCUACUUUGAGUCCUUCAUGUACCCAUGGGUUUAUUGGCUUACAUGUUACCAAUUUUUCUCCAAUCAAGCCAAUC
RNAcentral lists this long non-coding RNA (1986 nucleotides) under Theobroma cacao (cacao). RNAcentral describes it as "long non-coding RNA (TCAC_LNC003864)". The record is from RNAcentral. Lineage: Eukaryota; Viridiplantae; Streptophyta; Magnoliopsida; Malvales; Malvaceae.